RNAcentral lists this ribosomal RNA (280 nucleotides) under Veillonella atypica. RNAcentral's name for it is "partial 16S ribosomal RNA". It matches the Rfam family "Bacterial small subunit ribosomal RNA", at positions 1175 to 1453 of the family's 1533-position model. Lineage: Bacteria; Bacillati; Bacillota; Negativicutes; Veillonellales; Veillonellaceae. The record is from RNAcentral.
GGGGAUGACGUCAAAUCAUCAUGCCCCUUAUGACCUGGGCUACACACGUACUACAAUGGGAGUUAAUAGACGGAAGCGAAACCGCGAGGUGGAGCAAACCCGAGAAACACUCUCUCAGUUCGGAUCGUAGGCUGCAACUCGCCUACGUGAAGUCGGAAUCGCUAGUAAUCGCAGGUCAGCAUACUGCGGUGAAUACGUUCCCGGGCCUUGUACACACCGCCCGUCACACCACGAAAGUCGGAAGUGCCCAAAGCCGGUGGGGUAACCUUCGGGAGCCAGC